UGUGGGUGAAAUUUCCGAGGCUCAACCUCGGAACUGCCUGCAAAACUGGGAGCCUUGAGGUAUGGAGAGGGAAGUGGAAUUCCUGGUGUAGCGGUGAAAUGCGUAGAUAUCAGGAGGAACACCCGUGGCGAAGGCGGCUUCCUGGCCAUAUCCUGACGCUGAGGUGCGAAAGCCAGGGUAGCGAACGGGAUUAGAUACCCCGGUAGUCCUGGCCAUAAACGAUGGAUACUAGGUGUUAGAGGUAUCGACCCCUCUAGUGCCGCAGCUAACGCAUUAAGUAUCCCGCCUGGGGAGUACGACCGCAAGGUUGAAACUCAAAGGAAUUGACGGGGGCCCGCACAAGCGGUGGAGCAUGUGGUUUAAUACGUCACUAACCGUAGAACCUUACCCAGGCUUGACAUCUAGGGAAUCCUGAUGAAAGUCGGGAGUGCCUUUGGGAGCCCUAAGACAGGUGUUGCAUGGCUGUCGUCAGCUCGUGUCGUGAGAUGUUGGGUUAAGUCCCGCAACGAGCGCAACCCUCAUCCGAUGUUGCCAGCGUAGAGUCGGGAACUCUUCGGAAACUGCCCGUGUAAGCGGGAGGAAGGUGGGGAUGACGUCAAGUCAGCAUGGCCCUUACGCCUGGGGCUACACACAUGCUACAAUGGACGCUAACAAAGGGCAGCAAUACCGCGAGGUGGAGCGAAUCUCAUAAAUGCGUCCUCAGUUCGGAUUGUAGUCUGCAACUCGACUACAUGAAGUCGGAAUCGCUAG
This 750-nucleotide ribosomal RNA is filed under the name uncultured bacterium. RNAcentral describes it as "bacterial SSU rRNA". It matches the Rfam family "Bacterial small subunit ribosomal RNA", at positions 589 to 1338 of the family's 1533-position model. The record is from RNAcentral.